This 575-nucleotide ribosomal RNA is filed under the name uncultured bacterium. RNAcentral's name for it is "bacterial SSU rRNA". It matches the Rfam family "Bacterial small subunit ribosomal RNA", at positions 35 to 642 of the family's 1533-position model. The record is from RNAcentral.
GCUGGCGGCGUGCCUAACACAUGCAAGUCGAACGAGAAAGUGGAGCAAUCCAUGAGUACAGUGGCGACCGGGUGAGUAACACGUGACUAACCUGUCCUCGAGUGGGGAAUAACUCCGGGAAACCGGAGCUAAUACCGCAUAACAUCGCGAGAUCAAAGCAGCAAUGCGCUUGAGGAGGGGGUCGCGGCUGAUUAGCUAGUUGGUAGGGUAACGGCCUACCAAGGCGAAGAUCGGUAGCCGGCCUGAGAGGGCGCACGGCCACACUGGAACUGAAACACGGUCCAGACUCCUACGGGAGGCAGCAGUGGGGAAUUUUGCGCAAUGGGGGAAACCCUGACGCAGCAACGCCGCGUGGAGGAUGAAGUCCUUUGGGACGUAAACUCCUUUCGACCGGGACGAUACUGACGGUACCGGAAGAAGAAGCACCGGCUAACUCUGUGCCAGCAGCCGCGGUAAUACAGAGGGUGCGAGCGUUGUUCGGAAUUAUUGGGCGUAAAGGGCGCGUANGCGGUGCGGUAAGUCACUUGUGAAAUCUCCUGNCUCAACUGGGAGCUUGCAGGCGAAACUGCCGUGCU